Molecule: small nuclear RNA, 346 nt
Filed under: Erinaceus europaeus (western European hedgehog)
Lineage: Eukaryota; Metazoa; Chordata; Mammalia; Eulipotyphla; Erinaceidae
Description: 7SK RNA
Rfam family: 7SK RNA (bases 1-307)
About the family: 7SK was discovered as an abundant small nuclear RNA in the mid-70s but a possible function has only recently been suggested. Two independent studies have found that 7SK RNA binds the CDK9/cyclin T complex (known as elongation factor P-TEFb). P-TEFb activates transcription by phosphorylating the C-terminal domain of RNA polymerase II.
Source: Rfam by way of RNAcentral
GGAUGUGAGGGCGAUCUGGCUGUGACAUCCGUCACCCCAUUGAUCGCCAGCGUUGAUUCGGCUGCUCUGGCUGGCUAGGCGGGUGUCCCCUUCCUCCCUCCCCGCUCCAUGUGCGUCCCUCCGGAAGCUGCGUGCUCGGUCAAAGAGGACGGCCUUCCCCGAACAGAGACGACGGACCGGUUCUCGGUCGAGGGUAUACGAGUAGCUGCGCUCCCCUGCUAGACUCUCCAAACAAGCGCUCAACAAAGAGUGUGGAAACAGUGUGGUGUUGGGGGAGGCUGAGCAGGAGAGCAGAGUAUGUACGCACGAUGCCCUGGGUCCCAAUGUUUAACUGCUGGGCCAUCUG